RNAcentral lists this non-coding RNA (21 nucleotides) under Caenorhabditis elegans. Lineage: Eukaryota; Metazoa; Nematoda; Chromadorea; Rhabditida; Rhabditidae. The record is from RNAcentral.
UACAUCAAUGACAGAAAGAUC